UUUUGUUUUAGCCAUUGUUCUGGUUGUGGU
Molecule: non-coding RNA, 30 nt
Filed under: Rattus norvegicus (Norway rat)
Lineage: Eukaryota; Metazoa; Chordata; Mammalia; Rodentia; Muridae
Source: RNAcentral